GGGUGUUUAGCGCAGUGGUAGCGCGUUCGCUUUGCAUUCGCUCAUGCGAAAGGCCGGGAGUUCGAUCCUCCCAACAUCCA
Molecule: non-coding RNA, 80 nt
Organism: Schizophyllum amplum
Lineage: Eukaryota; Fungi; Basidiomycota; Agaricomycetes; Agaricales; Schizophyllaceae
Source: the annotation of a GenBank genome assembly